AUAUCAAUAAGCGGAGGAAAAGAAACCAACCGGGAUUGCCCUAGUAACGGCGAGUGAAGCGGCAACAGCUCAAAUUUGAAAUCUGGCCUCUGGCCCGAAUUGUAAUUGGCAGAGGAUGCAUCGGGGGCGGCCCUGUUCCAAGUCCACUGGAACGUGGCGUCCUAGAGGGUGAGAAUCCCGUACGCGAGCGGUGUCCGCUCCCAUGUGAUGCUCCUUCGACGAGUCGAGUUGUUUGGGAAUGCAGCUCUAAAUGGGUGGUAUAUUUCAUCUAAAGCUAAAUACCGGCCAGAGACCGAUAGCGAACAAGUAGAGUGAUCGAAAGAUGAAAAGCACUUUGGAAAGAGAGUUAAACAGUAC
This 357-nucleotide ribosomal RNA is filed under the name uncultured fungus. RNAcentral's name for it is "eukaryotic LSU rRNA". It matches the Rfam family "Eukaryotic large subunit ribosomal RNA", at positions 40 to 398 of the family's 3401-position model. Lineage: Eukaryota; Fungi. The record is from RNAcentral.